RNAcentral lists this ribosomal RNA (480 nucleotides) under uncultured bacterium. RNAcentral's name for it is "partial 16S ribosomal RNA". It matches the Rfam family "Bacterial small subunit ribosomal RNA", at positions 28 to 507 of the family's 1533-position model. The record is from RNAcentral.
GAUGAACGCUAGCGGUAGGCCUAACACAUGCAAGUCGAGGGGGAGGUUACUUUCGGGUAACUGAGACCGGCGUACGGGUGCGUAACGCGUAUACAAUCUGCCUUUCACUGGGGGAUAGCCCGAAGAAAUUUGGAUUAAUACCCCAUAGUAUAGUAAUACGGCAUCGUGAUGCUAUUAAAGCUUAGGUGGUGAAAGAUGAGUAUGCGUUCUAUUAGCUAGUUGGAGAGGUAACGGCUCCCCAAGGCGAUGAUAGAUAGGGGUUCUGAGAGGGAUGUCCCCCACACUGGUACUGAGAUACGGACCAGACUCCUACGGGAGGCAGCAGUGAGGAAUAUUGGACAAUGGUCGGAAGACUGAUCCAGCCAUGCCGCGUGCAGGAUGAAGGUCUUAUGGAUUGUAAACUGCUUUUGUAAGGGAAGAAUAAGGGCUACGCGUAGUUUGAUGACGGUACCUUACGAAUAAGCAUCGGCUAACUCCGUG